AGCAGUCGCCGCGGGAAUACGAAGGGUGCAAGCGUUACUCGGAAUUACUGGGCGUAAAGCGUGCGUAGGUGGUGGUUUAAGUCCGUUGUGAAAGCCCUGGGCUCAACCUGGGAAUUGCAGUGGAUACUGGGUCACUAGAGUGUGGUAGAGGAUAGUGGAAUUUCCGGUGUAGCAGUGAAAUGCGUAGAGAUCGGAAGGAACAUCUGUGGCGAAGGCGACUAUCUGGGCCAACACUGACACUGAGGCACGAAAGCGUGGGGAGCAAACAGGAUUAGAUACCCGAGUAGUCCCUGUCUCUUAUAA
This 303-nucleotide ribosomal RNA is filed under the name uncultured bacterium. RNAcentral describes it as "partial 16S ribosomal RNA". It matches the Rfam family "Bacterial small subunit ribosomal RNA", at positions 507 to 809 of the family's 1533-position model. The record is from RNAcentral.